This 820-nucleotide ribosomal RNA is filed under the name uncultured Candidatus Saccharibacteria bacterium. Its description in RNAcentral is "bacterial SSU rRNA". It matches the Rfam family "Bacterial small subunit ribosomal RNA", at positions 9 to 862 of the family's 1533-position model. Lineage: Bacteria; Candidatus Saccharimonadota. The record is from RNAcentral.
GAGUUUGAUCCUGGCUCAGGAUGAACGCUGGCGGCGUGCCUAAUACAUGCAAGUCGUACGGAAACACUUCGGGUGUCGAGUGGCGGACGGGUGAGUAACGCGUAGGAAUGUACCCUAAAGUGAGGGAUAGUCAUCUGAAAGGAUGAGUAAUACCGCAUAUGGUCUUUUAGAUUAAAGCUUUUUUGAGCGCUUUGGGAGCAGCCUGCGUUAGAUUAGCUAGUUGGUAAGGUAAUGGCUUACCAAGGCGAUGAUCUAUAGCUGGUUUGAGAGGAUGAUCAGCCACACUAGAACUGAGACACGGUCUAGACUCCUACCGGGAGGCAGCAGUAAGGAAUUUUCCGCAAUGGGCGCAAGCCUGACGGAGCGACGCCGCGUGCAGGAUGAAGGUCUUCGGAUUGUAAACUGCUUUUGUAAGCGAAGAAUUUGACGGUAACUUACGAAUAAGGAUCUAGCUAACUACGUGCCAGCAGCCGCGGUCAUACGUAGGAUCCAAGCGUUAUCCGGAAUUACUGGGCGUAAAGAGUUGCGUAGGCGGUUAUUUAAGCAAUCUAUGAAAGCGUGUGGCUUAACCAUACAAGUGUAGGUUGAACUGGAUAACUAGAGUCUAGAAGAGGUCACUGGAAUUUCUGGUGGAGGAGUGAAAUCCGUAGAUAUCAGAAGGAACACCAAUGGCGUAGGCAGGUGACUGGUCUAGCACUGACGCUAAGGCACGAAAGCGUGGGGAGCGAACGGGAUUAGAUACCCCGGUAGUCCACGCCGUAAACGAUGGAUGCUAGCUGUAUGGGGAUUCAACCCCCUGUGUAGUGUCGCUAACGCUUUA